Molecule: long non-coding RNA, 2256 nt
Filed under: Salmo salar (Atlantic salmon)
Lineage: Eukaryota; Metazoa; Chordata; Actinopteri; Salmoniformes; Salmonidae
Description: lncRNA (ENSSSAG00000116604.1)
Source: RNAcentral
UGAAAAGGGGCUGAAAUUGUCACGUUUCUCUAAAGCUGAACCCAGAAGCAGACCAGGACAAGGUGAGUAAAAUGAAGGUGAGUAUUUAUUCACAGACUCGAGGCAGCGGAGGUGAGUUGAUGAGAGUGAAUAGGCAGAUCCAAUGAUGUCACUGAAACCACCGACGACCAGGCAAGGGGGGCGAAUGUUCCGGGAGGAUGACUGUAGACAGCGUAAACAGGGUUGAGUAACCGGCAAGAAGUACAUAACAACAAAACUAACUCUGGUAACAUGAGCUGAUACGCUGACACAACCUAAUGUUCAUUGCUAACGAUCCGGCAGGGAAUGGAUGUCAGGUCAGGGUUUAUGAAGAGAAGAGGUGAUGAUCAGGACCAGGUGUGCAGAUGGCUGAUGAGAUGCAGGUGCGGGUAAUUGAGAGAUCUCCCGCCUAGCUUCGUCGCCCGGCAACCAGACAGGGUGUGUUCAGAAACAACUCCAAAACAGAAAACAGUCAGCUCAGGCAGAACACAGACUCAGGAAGCGGGAUUCAUGACAGGAAUACAGGACAAAAAUACAGCUGUGUCUGUCCGGAGCUCAUUAGUGCGGGGAAACUGUGAGGGUCCAGUUAAAACAAUGUUGCAAGUUCGCUAGCGAGCUGGACCAAGUCGUUACAAUGUUGCAAGUUUGCUAGGGAAAGCUCAAGACAGACAGAGAGAGACAGGAGACAGGCGGAGUAGAGAGAUUAAUGCGAUUGAAAGAACCUGAACAAACUGUCACUGGUUUAAGCCUAAGCACGAAACAUGGAGAUGCCUUCAAAUUAUUUGGAGUGUGAACCAAUAAAGCUAAUUCAUGACGAGUAAUGAGGAAGAAGUCAAACCGCGUGAGAGAAGAAUCUUCCAGAAAGAUCCUUGGCGCGUUAGCGGAGAAGACAAUAUCUAGAAUCGUGGUCAAGGAGAAACAGAAGAGAGCCUCGAGGACAUGCGGAAAGCUCUACUGUCUGAUGUGAAGAAAAGGAACAACAGAGAGACGGUGAAGUUCAAAAUGGAGAAGACGUUUGCAUACAGGAGACAUUAAGUUGUCCGUGACGCACCCUUGGUAGAGGACUUCAUGGCAAGAUGGCCUGCGCUCUUUGAAGUCAUUGAGGGAAGUUAGCCAUGCUUGUUUUAUUGUUGAUCUAUUGGUCAUGUUAUCUGAGAUUGGUUGGUGAAGGUAGAAGAUUGUUUUCCCUCAGCUUGCCUAAUUGGGCAUGGAUGAAGAGUCCACCAAGGCAGCUGUUGAGGACACUACUGUGGGGAUCUACAUUAUCAAAGACCAUUUCGCGAGUGAGGAUCCAGGGGACACUGGGAUUGUCCUUGAAGGCGUCAAGGUGCUGCAGGAUCUGGGCAACGUAGCAUUUGCUGUUGCAAUGCUGUUCGGCCUCAUGUAUGCCAUGAACCUCAGUUACCCUAACUGAGCCCCGCUACACUUUUGAUGUCUUUCAGAAGGUUUUUAUGGAACUGAAUGGGGACAAACUUUCUAACAAAGCUGUUGCAUUUAAAAACAGGCUGUUUCAGUGAGCUGUUUUGUUGUAUGUUGUGUUUCACACUGUAUGUUUGACUUAUGUUUAACUUGUUAGAUUGUUCACAAAAACUCAAAACAGAAUGAGCAUGUCCAAAGAUGGAGCUAUCGUGAUUUCCUUAAUUUUCUUUGCUGCUUAUGGAAAAAGUUCAGUUUCACUUUGUAGUGACUUUUAGUCAAUAUAAUUAACAUGCACAAAUAUGUCCACAUACCUACCUCAUUCUUUGUCUGUUACUCCUUAUGAAAAAUAACUACCUCAUUUUGUAACAAAAUGCAUUAGAGGGCCCAAUCAUUGUUAGGACAACUCUUCUUUUUUUAUAUAUACAGAUACUGUAUAAAGGCUACAGCCCCUUGAUUUAGACCUGUGCAAUUCAUUGAACACUGAAUGUCAGUGAAUGGACAUUUGUCAUUCCAAAGAGCUGAACCGUUACAAAAAAUACAAUAUCAUUUUUGAAACGCAUGCCUUUGCCUUCUUUGUCACUGAUGCAAAUGGUCUCUUGCUCCUUGGUUACACAUCCUUAGAAAACGUUUUAUUUCCCUAUUAAUUUGUUUAAAUACAAACACUAAGGCAGAAAAUGACAGCAUUUCAUCUUGUGCUUACAUUAAUAAUUAUGUAGAACCUUAAAUUAUGGACAAAGUUAUUCAUAAUUAUGAGUAACAUCGGAACAUGAUCAAAUACAUUUCAAGCUACACAUUUAAUUCAAAUAAAAUUUACUUUAC